This 275-nucleotide ribosomal RNA is filed under the name Chorosoma schillingii. RNAcentral's name for it is "partial small subunit ribosomal RNA". The record is from RNAcentral. Lineage: Eukaryota; Metazoa; Arthropoda; Insecta; Hemiptera; Rhopalidae.
UUAAUUAGAUUGAUUCUGUCUAAUUAAAUUAAUUUUAAAAAUAGUAUUAUAUAUAAAUUUUUGUGUGUUAAUUAAUUAAUCUUAAUGAUUAUAUUAAUAUUAUAUUAUUAAUUUGUAGUUGUUUAUUUUGUAUAUUUUAUCAUUAAAGAUACAGUUAAUUUUUUUAGAAUUGUCAAAAGUUGUGCCAGCAGACGCGGUUAUACAAUUGAUUCGAAUUAAUUUUAUUGGUAUAUAUUUAUUAAAUAUUUUGGGAAUUUAAAUGAUAAUUUUUAAGU